This 63-nucleotide ribosomal RNA is filed under the name Grammatophora oceanica. RNAcentral describes it as "partial 5.8S ribosomal RNA". Lineage: Eukaryota; Bacillariophyta; Fragilariophyceae; Rhabdonematales; Grammatophoraceae. The record is from RNAcentral.
UUUCAACAAAACGAAUGUCCUGUGCUCCCACAACGAUAAAGAACGUAGCGAAGUGAGACAAUU